AGUGAACGCUGGCGGUAGGCCUAACACAUGCAAGUCGAACGGCAGCACAGUAAGAGCUUGCUCUUACGGGUGGCGAGUGGCGGACGGGUGAGGAAUACAUCGGAAUCUACUUUUUCGUGGGGGAUAACGUAGGGAAACUUACGCUAAUACCGCAUACGACCUACGGGUGAAAGCAGGGGAUCUUCGGACCUUGCGCGAUUGAAUGAGCCGAUGUCGGAUUAGCUAGUUGGCGGGGUAAAGGCCCACCAAGGCGACGAUCCGUAGCUGGUCUGAGAGGAUGAUCAGCCACACUGGAACUGAGACACGGUCCAGACUCCUACGGGAGGCAACAGUGGGGAAUAUUGGACAAUGGGCGCAAGCCUGAUCCAGCCAUACCGCGUGGGUGAAGAAGGCCUUCGGGCUGUAAAGCCCUUUUGUUGGGAAAGAAAAGCAGCAGGUUAAUACCCCGCUGUUCUGACGGUACCCAAAGAAUAAGCACCGGCUAACUUCGUG
Molecule: ribosomal RNA, 492 nt
Filed under: uncultured bacterium
Lineage: Bacteria
Description: partial 16S ribosomal RNA
Rfam family: Bacterial small subunit ribosomal RNA
Source: RNAcentral